This 425-nucleotide ribosomal RNA is filed under the name uncultured bacterium. RNAcentral describes it as "bacterial SSU rRNA". It matches the Rfam family "Bacterial small subunit ribosomal RNA", at positions 356 to 773 of the family's 1533-position model. The record is from RNAcentral.
GGGGAAUUUUGGACAAUGGGGGCAACCCUGAUCCAGCCAUGCCGCGUGAGUGAAGAAGGCCUUCGGGUUGUAAAGCUCUUUCAGCCGGGAAGAAAACGCACUCUCUAACAUAGGGUGUGGAUGACGGUACCGGAAGAAGAAGCACCGGCUAACUACGUGCCAGCAGCCGCGGUAAUACGUAGGGUGCGAGCGUUAAUCGGAAUUACUGGGCGUAAAGGGUGCGCAGGCGGUUUUGUAAGACAGAUGUGAAAUCCCCGGGCUUAACCUGGGAACUGCGUUUGUGACUGCAAGGCUAGAGUACGGCAGAGGGGGGUGGAAUUCCGCGUGUAGCAGUGAAAUGCGUAGAUAUGCGGAGGAACACCGAUGGCGAAGGCAACCCCCUGGGCCUGUACUGACGCUCAUGCACGAAAGCGUGGGGAGCAAAC